Pseudophryne corroboree (corroboree frog) is the source of this 1147-nucleotide long non-coding RNA. RefSeq lists it as uncharacterized. The transcript has 6 exons. The record is from RefSeq and is a predicted model, not a curated record. NCBI's taxonomy places the organism in Eukaryota, Metazoa, Chordata, Amphibia, Anura, Myobatrachidae.
AGGUUACACACGCAUAUGAAAUUGUGGUAGACCUGUGUAUUUGAACUUGUUAUCCAAAUCCCUGAAUCAUAAGGUCGCAUACCUAUAUGAACUUGCGUUCAGGCCUAUGCGUUUGAACUUGUUAUUCAAGCACUUAACCAUAAGGCUUAAUCUAACUUUCACCUGUGUACCCCACCGGUGUGUGUUUUUUUUCAAGUAUCCAGAAUACGUAAUUGCCAUUUCAUUGAUGCACUAACAGUAUUUAUCAAGCACUAGAGGGGUCCUCUCUGACAGCAUUAGACAAGUGCAGGAAGAGUGUGACAUCACUAUAGUACAGGAGAAAGGGAUUUCCCUAAGCAGAGAGCAGGGGUUUCUGAAACUCCGCUUGCAGACAACUAAGCAGCCGCCAUGGCAAUUCCCGAUGUGAGGGUGCACAACCAAUAGACCCCACGUGAUGCCACUGAGUGAAAAGCUUCUAGGAUGAAUGUUACUACCAAUGUUUCAAAACUCUCCUCACCCACAAAUGACAUUAUAAGAAUAGAGCACGUGUGCAGAGAGAUCCUCUGUAAAUAAAGAUUGUACAUUACUGCGGAAGGGAAGCAGCGUGUAACAUAUUACCAUAUUCCCCUUAUUACAUCAGACCAAGAAAGAAUGAAGAUGUUAGCUCCUUUCAUGCUACCAUUGCUGGUACUCUCAUCAGAGCUGGAUGACAACUUUCUAGCUACUCUCUUUCUCUUGAUGGAAACUUUCUCAUUAUCGGAGGAGUCAGAGGAAAUCCUCCUCUUCCAGACAAAACUGGGCAUGAUGUUCAUCUUUAUCUCUGCAGAUGUUGUAAUUAAUUGACUUGUCGCUGUCUACUUCUCUGGCUCUCUUCUGCAUCGCUGUCUACUGCACCACUGUCGUCUCCAAUAUGGCCGCCGGCUUCCUCUCUGGUCAACUGUCACUCUGGCACCAGCGGUUGAAUGUAGACAGCUUGGUUGCCAUGACGACAGCUGCCUAUAUCCCCGUGCUACAUACAUGUUGUAUGCUGGGUAUGUCUAUGUGCAUGUAACAUCAAUUGGGAGGCAUGUGUGAAAUUAACACUGGAUUAAAUAGGGGUUUCCUAAAUUAUGGGGUGGGAGUAAUUUUAUCAAUGCAGACUGCUUAGAAUAAAAUGUAUUUUAUUGAA